RNAcentral lists this ribosomal RNA (140 nucleotides) under uncultured bacterium. RNAcentral's name for it is "partial 16S rRNA". It matches the Rfam family "Bacterial small subunit ribosomal RNA", at positions 355 to 511 of the family's 1533-position model. The record is from RNAcentral.
UGGGGAAUUUUCCGCAAUGGGCGAAAGCCUGACGGAGCAAUGCCGCGUGGAGGUGGAAGGCCUACGGGUCGUCAACUUCUUUUCUCGGAGAAGAAACAAUGACGGUAUCUGGGAAUAAGCAUCGGCUAACUCUGUGUCAG